AGCAAGGGUCCUCUGUCCACCAUGGCGCCGGCGAGAGGGCAGGCGGGCCGGGAAGGCAGCCCCACGCUGCAGCUCUAGGUCUAGCGGAGUUCCUCGCUUUCGGCAGUGAAAAGCGAUGAAGACGAGCUGCGCCUUUCCUGGAUGCAGUGAAGUCUGGGAAGGCAGGCGAGCAGGACCUCUGUGGAGAGAAGCUGGGGGAUCAUUCUCUGAGCUGUUCUCCAUACAUUUGCAGUACAAAUCCUUCACACCAGGAGCUGUGUCUGCCUUUCUUCAUGCAUUUUGUAUGUUCAGUAAACCUAACUACGCGCA
Molecule: long non-coding RNA, 309 nt
Organism: Pogoniulus pusillus (Red-fronted tinkerbird)
Lineage: Eukaryota; Metazoa; Chordata; Aves; Piciformes; Lybiidae
Exons: 2
Source: RefSeq, a predicted model, not a curated record